Molecule: ribosomal RNA, 460 nt
Filed under: uncultured bacterium
Lineage: Bacteria
Description: partial 16S ribosomal RNA
Rfam family: Bacterial small subunit ribosomal RNA
Source: RNAcentral
CCUACGGGAGGCUGCAGUGAGGAAUAUUGGUCAAUGGACGAGAGUCUGAACCAGCCAAGUAGCGUGAAGGAUGACUGCCCUAUGGGUUGUAAACUUCUUUUAUAAAGGAAUAAAACGAGGCACGUGUGCCUUUUUGCAUGUACUUUAUGAAUAAGGAUCGGCUAACUCCGUGCCAGCAGCCGCGGUAAUACGGAGGAUCCGAGCGUUAUCCGGAUUUAUUGGGUUUAAAGGGAGCGUAGAUGGGUUGUUAAGUCAGUUGUGAAAGUUUGCGGCUCAACCGUAAAAUUGCAAUUGAUACUGGCAGUCGUGAGGACAGUUGAGGUAGGCGGAAUUCGUGGUGUAGCGGUGAAAUGCUUAGAUAGCACGAAGAACCCCGAUUGCGAAGGCAGCUUACUAAACUGUGACUGACAUUGAUGCUCGAAAGUGUGGGUAUCAAACAGGAUUAGAUACCCCUGUAGUC